RNAcentral lists this ribosomal RNA (251 nucleotides) under uncultured prokaryote. RNAcentral describes it as "partial 16S rRNA". It matches the Rfam family "Bacterial small subunit ribosomal RNA", at positions 525 to 775 of the family's 1533-position model. The record is from RNAcentral.
ACGGAGGAUGCAAGCGUUAUCCGGAUUUAUUGGGUUUAAAGGGUGCGCAGGCGGAUCAAUAAGUCAGGGGUGAAAAAUUUCAGCUUAACUGUAGUCGUGCCUUUGAUACUGUAGGACUUGAGUGUAGUUGAGGUAUCUGGAAUGUGAAGUGUAGCGGUGAAAUGCUUAGAUAUGACACAGAACACCAAUUGCGAAGGCAGCAAACUAAAUUAUAACUGACGCUGAUGCACGAAAGCGUGGGGAUCAAACAG